AAAAUAAUGUACAAUAAUCAUAAAACAUCAGCAAUUAUAGUUCACUGUAAUAUAAAUGUCAAUGCAAUAUAAGUAUAGGUAAUCACACAGGAAGGAGUGCAAUUAAUUAUAACACUACGAGUAAUAUUUGAGGGCCCUGAAGGGGUAAAAUGGGAACUGGAAUUGAUCUAAUUUUAGACUGGGAAAAUGGGAUUUGGGUUGCUGGGACUGGGAUUUGGCCACUGGGAAUGGGAAAUGAAGUCCUCAAAAAUGGGAAUGGGAUUGAGGUAAUGCGAGUCGAUUCCCAACUUUUCUACAUUUUAAGUGUUUUAAAAUACAAUUUUGAUCCGUUUUCGGUGUCUUUGGUCAUGAUUUUUGUUGUUAAUUUGUGAUUUUUGUAUAUUAUUCACAGCACUACCUGCGAACAGGCACACUCUGGCGCCCGGAAUUCCGGGUUUUCUGAUUAUGCGUGUCUUAGAAUGCUGCAAAUGCCAUUUCCGGGAUUCAAAUUUAAAAAAUUUCUGUGCCUUCGCCACCAACCUCCCCCCCCCAUAUUUCAUCAUUUCAUAAUUUCAUUGCACACACGGUGGCUUAAAAGGUCUCAAAACUGUUUAUUCUAUACCGAUAAAUAAAAGGUUUUUUAUUGACUGGGAGUUCAAUAACUCGGACUGGGAUUUCUAAUAAAAAUCCAACUGGAACUGGGAUUUUGCCAAAAUUUCAGGUGGGAAAUGGGAUUGGGACCCCCCCCCCCCUUCAGUACCCUCAUAUUUGAAAAAUGUGCCAAAAUUGCACAAGCUGUUAAUUAAUUGCACGACUUGCCCGAGUGAUUAUUUAUUUUAUGCAUAGCAUGAUGAAAUUCAAUAAAAUUCAACUUAUUUUGUCAAGAAUUUUUAAUUCUUUUGUAAGCAAUUUGGCAUAAACAAACUUGGAAAAUGAUCAUAAAC
Molecule: non-coding RNA, 923 nt
Organism: Paramuricea clavata
Lineage: Eukaryota; Metazoa; Cnidaria; Anthozoa; Malacalcyonacea; Plexauridae
Source: the annotation of a GenBank genome assembly